This 87-nucleotide small RNA is filed under the name Bombyx mori (domestic silkworm). RNAcentral describes it as "Bm_169". The record is from RNAcentral. Lineage: Eukaryota; Metazoa; Arthropoda; Insecta; Lepidoptera; Bombycidae.
AGAGACAUGAGGUUGAAAGUCGCACAGUCUUCGGACUGUGCUUGUUUUUGUAAGUAGAUUGGACGCGCAUCGCGUCUACUCCACUUU